CACGUAGGGCGCAAGCGUUGUCCGGAAUUACUGGGCGUAAAGCGUGCGCAGGCGGUUUUGUAAGUUUGUCGUGAAAGCCCCGGGCUCAACCUGGGAAUUGCGAUGAAGACUGCAAGGCUUGAAUCUGGCAGAGGGGGGUAGAAUUCCACGUGUAGCAGUGAAAUGCGUAGAGAUGUGGAGGAACACCGAUGGCGAAGGCAGCCCCCUGGGUCAAGAUUGACGCUCAUGCACGAAAGCGUGGGGAGCAAACAGG
RNAcentral lists this ribosomal RNA (253 nucleotides) under uncultured bacterium. RNAcentral's name for it is "partial 16S ribosomal RNA". It matches the Rfam family "Bacterial small subunit ribosomal RNA", at positions 524 to 776 of the family's 1533-position model. The record is from RNAcentral.